UUGUCCAGCCUGCAGCGACAGCCGCGCUUCAACAUGCGUGGAGCGGACUCCGACAAGAUUGGGGGGCGGUCCCCGCAUCCGGGGUGACCCGGUAGGUUGUGGGGGCCUCAGCAGGCCCCGCUUUAGACCCUCAAGGAAAAGCGGCGUCUGUGCUCAGUUAAGACCCCUGGUGAUUGCUCCAGGGACUGAUAAGGCCACUGCUUCUCUCUCCUGACCACUGACUCGAAGAACAGUAACACAGUGAAGGCCAGCCAGCACUUCUACUUGAAGCCUGCCAACAUCUCAAACAGUGUGACAUCACCAGACAAUUGGUGCUCUGUGCUUUUGGAAUAAAUAAAUGAAUGGAUUAUGUAAGGAAACAGAUGAGCUAAAAGCUUCCAUUCAAUCAAUGAUCACGUUCUCUUUACCUGCCCAGGAAAAGUCAGUCCAAUGGGGAACAACAUCAAAUACAUGAUUUGUAAACUUUCUUAAUUUUGAGAGAAUCAAUAUAACAUACUACACAGAACUUACAAGUCAAACAGACCUGCUUUGAAUCCUGACAUCUUCAAUUACAAGUUUUGUGAACUUGCUAAUUUAGCUAAUCUAUUUCUGCUAUAUUUUCCUUAAAUUUAAAAUUAGAAUAGUUAUUUUCAUAGAGUGCAAUAAAAAUCACAGAUUAAAGUCAUAUAAAACU
This is a long non-coding RNA of Talpa occidentalis (Iberian mole), 673 nucleotides long. RefSeq lists it as uncharacterized. Lineage: Eukaryota; Metazoa; Chordata; Mammalia; Eulipotyphla; Talpidae. The transcript is spliced from 3 exons. The record is from RefSeq and is a predicted model, not a curated record.